This 501-nucleotide ribosomal RNA is filed under the name uncultured bacterium. Its description in RNAcentral is "partial 16S ribosomal RNA". It matches the Rfam family "Bacterial small subunit ribosomal RNA", at positions 30 to 523 of the family's 1533-position model. The record is from RNAcentral.
AUUGAACGCUGGCGGCAGGCUUAACACAUGCAAGUCGAGCGGAGAUGAGGUGCUUGCACCUUAUCUUAGCGGCGGACGGGUGAGUAAUGCUUAGGAAUCUGCCUAUUAGUGGGGGACAACAUUCCGAAAGGAAUGCUAAUACCGCAUACGUCCUACGGGCGAAAGCAGGGGAUCUUCGGACCCUGCGCUAAUAGAUGAGCCUAAGUCGGAUUAGCUAGUUGGUGGGGUAAAGGCCUACCAAGGCGACGAUCUGUAGCGGGUCUGAGAGGAUGAUCCGCCACACUGGGACUGAGACACGGCCCAGACUCCUACGGGAGGCAGCAGUGGGGAAUAUUGGACAAUGGGGGGAACCCUGAUCCAGCCAUGCCGCGUGUGUGAAGAAGGCCUUAUGGUUGUAAAGCACUUUAAGCGAGGAGGAGGCUACUGAGACUAAUACUCUUGGAUAGUGGACGUUACUCGCAGAAUAAGCACCGGCUAACUCUGUGCCAGCCGCCGCCGUAA